This 272-nucleotide ribosomal RNA is filed under the name uncultured prokaryote. RNAcentral's name for it is "partial 16S ribosomal RNA". It matches the Rfam family "Bacterial small subunit ribosomal RNA", at positions 524 to 796 of the family's 1533-position model. The record is from RNAcentral.
UACGUAGGGUGCAAGCGUUGUCCGGAAUUAUUGGGCGUAAAGAGCUCGUAGGCGGUUUGUCGCGUCUGCUGUGAAAACGCGAGGCUCAACCUCGCGCCUGCAGUGGGUACGGGCAGACUAGAGUGCGGUAGGGGAGAUUGGAAUUCCUGGUGUAGCGGUGGAAUGCGCAGAUAUCAGGAGGAACACCGAUGGCGAAGGCAGAUCUCUGGGCCGUAACUGACGCUGAGGAGCGAAAGCGUGGGGAGCGAACAGGAUUAGAACCCGUGUAGUCC